ACGCUGGCGGCGUGCCUAACACAUGCAAGUCGAACGGAGAUAUGAUUUCGGUUGUAUCUUAGUGGCGAACGGGUGAGUAACGCGUGAACAACCUGACUCUAAGAGGGGGAUAACACUCGGAAACGGGUGCUAAUACCGCAUAAGACCACGACCUGGCAUCAGGAUGAGGUCAAAGGAACAAUCCGCUGAGAGAGGGGUUCGCGUCCCAUUAGAUAGAUGGCGGGUAACGGCCCACCAUGUCAACGAUGGGUAGCCGAGCUGAGAGGCUGAUCGGCCACACUGGAACUGAGACACGGUCCAGACUCCUACGGGAGGCAGCAGUGGGGAAUAUUGGGCAAUGGGCGCAAGCCUGACCCAGCAACGCCGCGUGAGGGAAGAAGGCUUUCGGGUUGUAAACCUCUGUCCUUGGUGACGAAACAAAUGACGGUAGCCAAGGAGGAAGCCCCGGCUAACUACGUG
This 459-nucleotide ribosomal RNA is filed under the name uncultured bacterium. RNAcentral describes it as "bacterial SSU rRNA". It matches the Rfam family "Bacterial small subunit ribosomal RNA", at positions 33 to 507 of the family's 1533-position model. The record is from RNAcentral.